This 251-nucleotide ribosomal RNA is filed under the name uncultured prokaryote. RNAcentral describes it as "partial 16S rRNA". It matches the Rfam family "Bacterial small subunit ribosomal RNA", at positions 525 to 775 of the family's 1533-position model. The record is from RNAcentral.
ACGGAGGUUGCAAGCGUUGUUCGGAAUCACUGGGCGUAAAGGGAGCGCAGGCGGUUAGGUAAGUUCAAAGUGAAAGCCCGGGGCUUAACCUCGGAAGUGCUUUGGAUACUGCCUUACUCGAGUUCGUGAGAGGAAAGCGGAAUUCCAGGUGACGGGGUGAAAUGCUGAGAUACUGGGAGGAACACCUGAGGGGCAGGCGGGCAACUCGGACGAACCUGCCGGUGCGUCUGGAGAGUGAGGGCAGGGAAUAG